UACAGAGGGUGCGAGCGUUAAUCGGAAUUACUGGGCGUAAAGCGUGCGUAGACGGUUAUUUAGGUCGGGUGUGAAAGCCCCGGGCUCAACCUGGGAAUUGCAUUCGAGACUGAAUAGCUAGGGUACGGUAGAGGGAAGCGGAAUUUCCGGUGUAGCGGUGAAAUGCGUAGAUAUCGGAAGGAACAUCAGUGGCGAAAGCGGCUUCCUGGACCAGUACCGACGUUCAGGCACGAAAGCGUGGGGAGCAAACAGG
Molecule: ribosomal RNA, 253 nt
Filed under: uncultured bacterium
Lineage: Bacteria
Description: partial 16S ribosomal RNA
Rfam family: Bacterial small subunit ribosomal RNA
Source: RNAcentral